GGGUCGGUGGCAGAGCGGUCAAUUGCACUAGACUGUAAAUCUAGCGCCCAUGCGGCUACGCAGGUUCGAAUCCUGCCCGGCCCA
Candidatus Ryanbacteria bacterium is the source of this 84-nucleotide non-coding RNA. The record is from Rfam. Lineage: Bacteria; Candidatus Ryaniibacteriota.